This 468-nucleotide ribosomal RNA is filed under the name uncultured bacterium. RNAcentral describes it as "partial 16S ribosomal RNA". It matches the Rfam family "Bacterial small subunit ribosomal RNA", at positions 28 to 507 of the family's 1533-position model. The record is from RNAcentral.
GACGAACGCUGGCGGCGUGCUUAACACAUGCAAGUCGAACGGAAAGGCCCUGCUUUUGUGGGGUGCUCGAGUGGCGAACGGGUGAGUAACACGUGAGUAAACUGCCCUUGACUUUGGGAUAACUUCAGGAAACUGGGGCUAAUACCGGAUAGGAGCUCCUGCUGCAUGGUGGGGGUUGGAAAGUUUCGGCGGUUGGGGAUGGACUCGCGGCUUAUCAGCUUGUUGGUGGGGUAGUGGCUUACCAAGGCUUUGACGGGUAGCCGGCCUGAGAGGGUGACCGGCCACAUUGGGACUGAGAUACGGCCCAGACUCCUACGGGAGGCAGCAGUGGGGAAUAUUGCGCAAUGGGCGGAAGCCUGAUGCAGCAGCGCCGCGUGCGGGAUGACGGCCUUCGGGUUGUAAACCGCUUUCGCCUGUGACGAAGCGUGAGUGACGGUAAUGGGUAAAGAAGCACCGGCUAACUACGUG